Molecule: ribosomal RNA, 416 nt
Filed under: Montenegrina apfelbecki
Lineage: Eukaryota; Metazoa; Mollusca; Gastropoda; Stylommatophora; Clausiliidae
Description: partial 16S ribosomal RNA
Rfam family: Archaeal large subunit ribosomal RNA
Source: RNAcentral
UCGCAGUACUCUGACUGUGCAAAGGUAGCAUAAUCAUUUGACUUUUAAUUGAAGUCUGGUAUGAAAGGAAAAACGUAUAUGAGCUGUAUCAAGUAUAAAUUUAUAUAAAUUAAUUAUGGGGUGAAAAUACCCCAAAUAAAAAAAAUAGACGAGAAGACCCUUAGAAUUUUUAGAAAAUAUUAUAAUUAGUGUAAUACGAUUUUUGUUGGGGCAACAUUUUUUCAUGCAACAAAAAUUAAAACUUUCCCACAAAGCGUUAUGUUAAAUCAAGAACAAAUUACCUUAGGGAUAACAGCAUAAUUUAUAGUUAAGUUUGUGACCUCGAUGUUGGAUUAGGGCUUAUUAAAGCUAGUCGUUUUAAUAUAAUAUGUUCUGUUCGAACUUUGCUCCCUACAUGAUCUGAGUUCAGACCGCGA